UACGUAGGCAGCAAGCGUUGUUCGGAGUUACUGGGCGUAAAGGGUCUGUAGGUGGCCAACUAAGUCAGACGUGAAAUCCCUCAGCUUAACUGGGGAACUGCGUCUGAUACUGGAUGGCUCGAGUGUGGGAGAGGAAUGCGGAAUUCCAGGUGUAGCGGUGAAAUGCGUAGAUAUCUGGAGGAACACCGGUGGCGAAGGCGGCAUUCUGGACCAUAACUGACACUGAGAGACGAAAGCCAGGGGAGCAAACAGG
RNAcentral lists this ribosomal RNA (253 nucleotides) under uncultured bacterium. RNAcentral's name for it is "partial 16S ribosomal RNA". It matches the Rfam family "Bacterial small subunit ribosomal RNA", at positions 524 to 776 of the family's 1533-position model. The record is from RNAcentral.